CCUACGGGUGGCAGCAGUAGGGAAUAUUGCUCAAUGGGGGAAACCCUGAUGCAGCAACGCCGCGUGGAGGAUGAAGGUUUUCGGAUUGUAAACCCCUUUUGUUAGAGAAGAUAAUGACGGUAUCUAACGAAUAAGCACCGGCUAACUACGUGCCAGCAGCCGCGGUAAUACGGAGGGUGCAAGCGUUACUCGGAAACACUGGGAGUAAAGGGCGCGUAGGCGGGAUAGCAAGUCAGAUGUGAAAUCCUAAGGCUUAACCAUAGAACGGCAUUUGAAACUGUUAAUCUAGAGUGUAGGAGAGGUAAGUGGAAUUCUUGGUGUAGGGGUGAAAUGCGUAGAGAUCAGGAGGAAUACUCAUGGCGAAGGCGACCUACUAGAACAUAACUGACGCUGAGGCACGAGAGCGUGGGGAGCAAACAGGAUUAGAUACCCUUGUAGUC
Molecule: ribosomal RNA, 440 nt
Filed under: uncultured bacterium
Lineage: Bacteria
Description: partial 16S ribosomal RNA
Rfam family: Bacterial small subunit ribosomal RNA
Source: RNAcentral